GUUUUAAUAAUUUAAUAAAAAUACUGGUCUUGUAAAUCAGAAAUAAGAACUAUCUUUUAAAACU
This 64-nucleotide transfer RNA is filed under the name Hylastes opacus. RNAcentral describes it as "tRNA-Thr". The record is from RNAcentral. Lineage: Eukaryota; Metazoa; Arthropoda; Insecta; Coleoptera; Curculionidae.